GAAAAUCCGUCGACUUUAUAAAUCGUGANGGUUCAAGUCCCUCUAUCCCC
This 50-nucleotide transfer RNA is filed under the name Lysimachia arvensis. Its description in RNAcentral is "Anagallis arvensis partial tRNA-Leu". The record is from RNAcentral. Lineage: Eukaryota; Viridiplantae; Streptophyta; Magnoliopsida; Ericales; Primulaceae.